This 1142-nucleotide long non-coding RNA is filed under the name Cricetulus griseus (Chinese hamster). RNAcentral describes it as "lncRNA (ENSCGRG00000026291.1)". The record is from RNAcentral. Lineage: Eukaryota; Metazoa; Chordata; Mammalia; Rodentia; Cricetidae.
UGUUGGUGUAUGGUGGGGUUGUGUGUGUGUGUGUGGGGUGUGUGUGUGUGUGUGUGUGUGUGUGUGUGUGUGUGGUGUGUAGUCCUGAGAUAGGAGACCUGAGGAAAUUCUGUGAGAAGCACCUGGUUUACUGACUGUUGGGUGAUUUCACUAAUUCUAUCUUAAGGAACCUGAAGAGUCAGGGAACAAUCGUUAUGAGAAGGAGGGAGGAGCCAGGGACCCAUGAGAGACCAAAAGGAGAGCCCUGCACUGGAGCUGGGCCCUGGAGGCCUCAGUCUGUGAGCCAGUUCAUCUAAGCUUUGGCUCAUGUAGCAGCAACAUUCUUCAUUGAGAAAGAGGCGGAUGCCUCCCCUUUCAGCAGUUAGCAAGCCUGGGUUCUUUGGUUUUUCGGGACCACCAAUGCCAGGGAUGUGAGCUGGUUUUGGAGCAGUUGCAGGGCUAAGGUUGAGUUUUGGAUGGUGUCUGCUAGCUGGGUGGAAAUCUGCUGUGAUUCUUACAGACUUUGACAAAUCUGACCACACCUGUGGCAACUGCUGAGGCUACCAAAGUGUCUCCAAUCAUGACCGGAAGAGCCACGUCAGUUCCUGUGCAUGAGUUGGAGGAGGGGGUAGAACUCUCCUUCGGUGUGUAGGGCUGGGGAAGCAACAAACAGGGAAACAAGGACCAUGAGUGGAUUUGCCCAUCUGCUUAGUUGACACCAGAUGAGAUGUUAGUAUGUGCUGACGAAGGGCUGGGAAGGAAGUUAAAGAGGCAGCCGGCUGGUGUCUCCAGAGAGUAGAGAGAUGGGGGUGGGUGAGAGAGAGGAAAUGAUUUGGAGAUUACACAGCUUGGAGGCUAGGGUUAUGUGGGUAAGAGGAAUAGCUCCCUUGAGGGACUGUUGCAGAGGAACACGAAGGAAGCAAGAGGACCCAUUGUUACUGCCACAGGCGUGGAGAAGACCCGGGGAUUCAUUUAGAAUAAUAGUCUUCCAGAAGGCCAGCUUGGGAGAGGUCUCAUGCAGCAUGGAUGAGCAUCCUCCUAAUUACAAGGUUCUUCUGAAGCAGUAUGUUACCUUAGCGCCAGCAGCUCGCACGUCUCACAUGCGACUCCCCCCACGUCACUGGAACUCUUCCAAGAGCCACAUGGAGUGGCUGGCCCAUUGA